This 440-nucleotide ribosomal RNA is filed under the name uncultured bacterium. Its description in RNAcentral is "partial 16S ribosomal RNA". It matches the Rfam family "Bacterial small subunit ribosomal RNA", at positions 338 to 795 of the family's 1533-position model. The record is from RNAcentral.
CCUACGGGUGGCUGCAGUGGGGGAUAUUGCACAAUGGAGGGAACUCUGAUGCAGCGACGCCGCGUGAGGGAAGAAGGUUUUCGGAUUGUAAACCUCUGUCUUCGGUGACGAAACGAGACGGUAGCCGAGGAGGAAGCCACGGCUAACUACGUGCCAGCAGCCGCGGUAAUACGUAGGUGGCAAGCGUUGUCCGGAAUUACUGGGGGUAAAGGGAGCGUAGGCGGGAAAGCAAGUUGAAUGUUUAAGGUACGGGCUCAAACUUUACAAGCGUUCAAAACUGUUUUUCUUGAGUGGAGUAGAGGUAAACGGAAUUCCUAGGGUAGCGGUGAAAUGCGUAAAUAUUAGGAGGAACACCAGUGGCGAAGGCGGCUUACUGGACGACAACUGACGGUGAGGCGCGAAAGCGUGGGGAGCAAACAGGAUUAGAUACCCUUGUAGUC